Molecule: ribosomal RNA, 403 nt
Filed under: uncultured bacterium
Lineage: Bacteria
Description: partial 16S ribosomal RNA
Rfam family: Bacterial small subunit ribosomal RNA
Source: RNAcentral
GACGAACGCUGGCGGCGUGCCUAAUACAUGCAAGUCGAACGCAGUGGGGACGGGUGAGUAACACGUGGGUAACCUCCCAUCAGAGGGGAUAACACUUGGACACAGGUGCUAAACCGAUACUGAUGGAUGGACCCGCGGUGCAUUAGCUAGUUGGUGAGUUAACGGCCUACCAAGGCCACGAUGCAUAGCUGACCUGAGAGGAUGAUCGGCCACACUGGGACUGAGACACGGCCCAGACUCCUACGGGAGGCAGCAGUGGGGAAUAUUGGGCAAUGGACGAAAGCCUGACCGAGCCAUGCCGCGUGUGUGAAGAAGGUCUUCGGGUCGUAAAGCACUUUUGUUAGAGAAGCGGUACCUACCGAGAAAGCCCCGGCUAACUCCGUGCCAGCAGCCGCGGUAAUAC